This 888-nucleotide ribosomal RNA is filed under the name Micropsalliota pseudoarginea. RNAcentral's name for it is "partial large subunit ribosomal RNA". It matches the Rfam family "Eukaryotic large subunit ribosomal RNA", at positions 67 to 940 of the family's 3401-position model. The record is from RNAcentral. Lineage: Eukaryota; Fungi; Basidiomycota; Agaricomycetes; Agaricales; Agaricaceae.
UAGCAGGAUUCCCCUAGUAACUGCGAGUGAAGCGGGAAAAGCUCAAAUUUAAAAUCUGGCGGUCUUUGGCUGUCCGAGUUGUAAUCUAGAGAAGUAAUGCCCGUGCUGGACCGUAUAUAAGUCUCCUGGGAUGGAGCAUCAUAGAGGGUGAGAAUCCCGUCUUUGAUACGGACUACCAGUGCAUUGUGGUAUGCUCUCAACGAGUCGAGUUGUUUGGGAAUGCAGCUCAAAAUGGGUGGUAAAUUCCAUCUAAAGCUAAAUAUUGGCGAGAGACCGAUAGCGAACAAGUACCGUGAGGGAAAGAUGAAAAGAACUUUGGAAAGAGAGUUAAACAGUACGUGAAAUUGCUGAAAGGGAAACGCUUGAAGUCAGUCACGUCUGCUGGGAAUCAGCCUCGCUCCUGCGUGGUGUACUUUCUGGUAUGACGGGUCAGCAUCAGUUUUGACCACUGGAAAAAGGUGUGGGGAAUGUGACAGCUCCGGCUGUGUUAUAGCCUCAUAUUGUAUACAGUGGUUGGGACUGAGGAACGCAGCACGCCGAAAGGCCGGGUCUUUGACCACGUUCGUGCUUAGGAUGCUGGCAUAAUGGCUUUAAGCGACCCGUCUUGAAACACGGACCAAGGAGUCUAACAUGCCUGCGAGUGUUUGGGUGGAAAACUCGAGCGCGCAAUGAAAGUGAAAGUUGAGAUCCCUGUCGUGGGGAGCAUCGACGCCCGGACCAGAACUUUUGGGACGGAUCCGCGGUAGAGCAUGUAUGUUGGGACCCGAAAGAUGGUGAACUAUGCCUGAAUAGGGUGAAGCCAGAGGAAACUCUGGUGGAGGGUCGUAACGGGUCUGACGUGCAAAUCGAUCGUCAAAUUUGGGGAUAAGGCGGAAAGACUAAUCGAAC